UGAGUAAUACAUCGGAACAUGUCCUGUAGUGGGGGAUAGCCCGGCGAAAGCCGGAUUAAUACCGCAUACGAUCUACGGAUGAAAGCGGGGGACCUUCGGGCCUCGCGCUAUAGGGUUGGCCGAUGGCUGAUUAGCUAGUUGGUGGGGUAAAGGCCUACCAAGGCGACGAUCAGUAGCUGGUCUGAGAGGACGACCAGCCACACUGGGACUGAGACACGGCCCACACUCCUACGGGAGGCAGCAGUGGGGAAUUUUGGACAAUGGGCGAAAGCCUGAUCCAGCAAUGCCGCGUGUGUGAAGAAGGCCUUCGGGUUGUAAAGCACUUUUGUCCGGAAAGAAAUCCUUGGCUCUAAUACAGUCGGGGGAUGACGGUACCGGAAGAAUAAGCACCGGCUAACUACGUGCCAGCAGCCGCGGUAAUACGUAGGGUGCAAGCGUUAAUCGGAAUUACUGGGCGUAAAGCGUGCGCAGGCGGUUUGCUAAGACCGAUGUGAAAUCCCCGGGCUCAACCUGGGAACUGCAUUGGUGACUGGCAGGCUAUAGUAUGGCAGAGGGGGGUAGAAUUCCACGUGUAGCAGUGAAAUGCGUAGAGAUGUGGAG
Molecule: ribosomal RNA, 600 nt
Filed under: Burkholderia vietnamiensis
Lineage: Bacteria; Pseudomonadati; Pseudomonadota; Betaproteobacteria; Burkholderiales; Burkholderiaceae
Description: bacterial SSU rRNA
Rfam family: Bacterial small subunit ribosomal RNA
Source: RNAcentral